Molecule: long non-coding RNA, 703 nt
Filed under: Olea europaea subsp. europaea
Lineage: Eukaryota; Viridiplantae; Streptophyta; Magnoliopsida; Lamiales; Oleaceae
Source: RNAcentral
AAUUAUCUCCCAGAACAAGAUGUCUAUUAUGCUUAAUAUCUUUAGUUUGAUAUGUAUUUGUCUUAAUUCUGCCCUUUAUUCGAGUAGUUUUUCCUUCGGUAAAUUGCCUGAACCCUAUGCUUUUUUGAAUCCAAUUGUAGAUGUUAUGCCAGUCAUACCUGUUUUGUUUUGUUUUUGUUUUUUUUUUCUCUUAGCCUUUGUUUGGCAAGCUGUUGUAAGUUUUCGAUGAGAUCGUUAAUAAUAUCCUAGAAAAUUCAUGAUUUCUUCGAGAAAAAAUUCUCUAACAAUUGAUAAAAUCAGAUAAGUUUUAGAGUCUGAACCCUCGAUUCACACAUUGAAAUUCUUGGAUAGUCGCCAUAAAUCCGGCUUAGCCCAUUUCCUCUUUUUUUUUAACCCUUUUCCAUUGAAAGACCCUAACCUUAUUAUAUUAAUUAUAAUUAUAUUAGAGUGUCCCACAAUAUUGAAUUUGGAUAUGAAAGAAACUUUUGUUAAUGAAAAACUCUUAUUCCAAAUAAAUUUCUGACAGUUCAUUUUUAUUUCUAGAAAAACCUCAUUUCUUGGUGUCAAAAUAGGAUAUGUGGUAGAAAAAUGGAAGAUCUAUUCUCUCAUUUUUUUUCCCAAAAAAAAAAAUCAUCUUGGAGAUUGUGUAAAGCUUACUUUGAAACUCUUCAUUUAUACCCUAGUGAUAUUUUUUGUUCUCUCU